CGCGGAAUUGAGUGACCGAUCCUGGCUUGGCACCGCUGGAAUCGAGAGAUGCAAGGAGGUUUUUUAGCUAGAACACGACCCACCAGAGAUAUGUUCCUGCAAGCCCUCAUGAUCCUUCUGUUGGCUCCAGUCACCUUGGCAAUACCAGAACAUCCUCUUCGGGGAGCAAUCCAAACCAUCGCCUCAGCUGCUGGUGCUACAAAUUGCUGGAUGUGCACCUUGCUAAAUUCAACCAAUGGACUGGGAAUUGAAUUUGUA
Long non-coding RNA from Chelonia mydas (Green sea turtle), 258 nucleotides. RefSeq lists it as uncharacterized. The transcript has 2 exons. The record is from RefSeq and is a predicted model, not a curated record. NCBI's taxonomy places the organism in Eukaryota, Metazoa, Chordata, Testudines, Cheloniidae.